GCCAGGUGUGGUGGCUCACACCUGCAAUCCCAGCAUGUUGGGAGGCCGAGGCAGGUGGAUCACUUGAGCCCAGGAGUUCAAGACCAGCCUGGGCAACAUAGUGAGACCCUGCCUCUA
Molecule: non-coding RNA, 117 nt
Filed under: Chlorocebus sabaeus (green monkey)
Lineage: Eukaryota; Metazoa; Chordata; Mammalia; Primates; Cercopithecidae
Source: Rfam by way of RNAcentral